RNAcentral lists this ribosomal RNA (253 nucleotides) under uncultured bacterium. Its description in RNAcentral is "partial 16S ribosomal RNA". It matches the Rfam family "Bacterial small subunit ribosomal RNA", at positions 524 to 776 of the family's 1533-position model. The record is from RNAcentral.
UACGAAGGGGGCUAGCGUUGCUCGGAAUUACUGGGCGUAAAGGGCGCGUAGGCGGACGUUUAAGUCGGGGGUGAAAGCCCGGGGCUCAACCUCGGAAUUGCCUUCGAUACUGGACGUCUUGAGUACGGGAGAGGUGAGUGGAACUCCGAGUGUAGAGGUGAAAUUCGUAGAUAUUCGGAAGAACACCAGUGGCGAAGGCGACUCACUGGCCCGUUACUGACGCUGAGGCGCGAAAGCGUGGGGAGCAAACAGG